UACGUAGGGGGCAAGCGUUGUCCGGAAUUAUUGGGCGUAAAGGGCGCGCAGGCGGCCUGGCAAGUCUCGGGUGAAAUCCCUCGGCUCAACCGAGGAACUGCCCUGGAUACUGCCAGGCUCGAGGCCGGGAGGGGGUAGCGGAAUUCCCAGUGUAGCGGUGAAAUGCGUAGAUAUUGGGAGGAACACCAGUGGCGAAGGCGGCUACCUGGACCGGUUCUGACGCUGAGGCGCGAAAGCGUGGGGAGCAAACAGG
This 253-nucleotide unclassified non-coding RNA is filed under the name uncultured Acidobacteriota bacterium. Its description in RNAcentral is "uncultured Acidobacteria bacterium contains 16S-23S intergenic spacer region". It matches the Rfam family "Bacterial small subunit ribosomal RNA", at positions 524 to 776 of the family's 1533-position model. The record is from RNAcentral. Lineage: Bacteria; Pseudomonadati; Acidobacteriota.